This 253-nucleotide ribosomal RNA is filed under the name uncultured bacterium. RNAcentral describes it as "partial 16S ribosomal RNA". It matches the Rfam family "Bacterial small subunit ribosomal RNA", at positions 524 to 776 of the family's 1533-position model. The record is from RNAcentral.
CACGUAGGGCGCGAGCGUUGUCCGGAAUUAUUGGGCGUAAAGAGCUCGUAGGCGGCCUGUUGCGUCCGCUGUGAAAGCCCGGGGCUUAACCCCGGGUCGGCAGUGGAUACGGGCAGGCUAGAGGUAGGUAGGGGAGACUGGAAUUCCUGGUGUAGCGGUGGAAUGCGCAGAUAUCAGGAGGAACACCGGUGGCGAAGGCGGGUCUCUGGGCCGUUACUGACGCUGAGGAGCGAAAGCGUGGGGAGCGAACAGG